GGUCUGGAUAGGUAUAAACAGUAUAGUGGUGGGGUCUGGAUAGGUAUAAACAGUAUAGUAGUGUAUCUGUAGGGUCUGGAUAGGUAUAAACAGUAUAGUAGUGUAUCUGAAGGGUCUGGAUAGGUAUAAACAGUAUAGUGGUGGAUCUGUCAGGUCUGGAUAGGUAUAAACAGUAUAGUAGUGGAUCUGUAGGGUCUGGAUAGGUAUAAACAGUAUAGUGGUGUAUCUGUAGGGUCUGGAUAGGUAUAAACAGUAUAGUAGUGGAUCUGUAGGGUCUGGAUAGGUAUAAACAGUAUAGUGGUGGGGUCUGGAUAGGUAUAAACAGUAUAGUGGUGGGGUCUGGAUAGGUAUAAACAGUAUAGUAGUGGGGUCUGGAUAGGUAUAAACAGUAUAGUAGUGUAUCUGCAGGGUCUGGAUAGGUAUAAACAGUAUAGUGGUGGGGUCUUGAUAGGUAUUAACAGUAUAGUAGUGGAUCUGUAGGGUCUGGAUAGGUAUAAACAGUAUAGUAGUGUAUCUGUAGGGUCUGGAUAGGUAUAAACAGUAUAGUGGUGGAUCUGUAGGGUCUGGAUAGGUAUAAACAGUAUAGUGGUGGAUCUGUAGGGUCUGGAUAGGUAUAAACAGUAUAGUAGGGGAUCUGUAGGGUCUGGAUAGGUAUUAACAGUAUAGUGGUG
Oncorhynchus tshawytscha (Chinook salmon) is the source of this 671-nucleotide long non-coding RNA. Lineage: Eukaryota; Metazoa; Chordata; Actinopteri; Salmoniformes; Salmonidae. The record is from Ensembl.